This 1267-nucleotide ribosomal RNA is filed under the name metagenome. RNAcentral describes it as "bacterial SSU rRNA". It matches the Rfam family "Eukaryotic small subunit ribosomal RNA", at positions 677 to 1799 of the family's 1831-position model. The record is from RNAcentral.
GCUGUGGAAACCUCCUUGAUUGGUGGUAGAAGCGCUUCCGCAUUCAACACAUGCAUAUGCCCCUGUCCGUGGAGGUUACUGUGAACAAAACAGCGUGUCCAAAGCAACCACAUGUCUGGCUGAAUGAUCUAGCAUGGAAUAACAAGGCAUCGACCACUGGAGUCAGCCUUUUUGUUGGUUUUACAUGACCCAGUUGGGCAAUGCAGGGCUUGUGCUUCAUUGAGGUUCUUAGUCAGCUCUACCGAACUGUCUUCCCUCAGUUGGACCUUGUUCCCUAUCGGGAUCAAUGGAAGCCAUCGGGGUGGUAUGUAUUCCGACGUGAGCGGUGAGAUGCUUAGACCGUUGGAAGACAAACGACAGCGAAGGCAUUCCGCCAGAAUGUUUUCAUUAAUCAAGAACGAGAGUGUGGGGAUCGAAGAUGAUCAGAUACCAUCGUAGUCCAUUACCGUAAACUAUGCCAACUCGGCAUUGGGAGUCUGUUCACUUUGAAGACUCUCCCAGCAUCAUCCCCCAAUAACGAGAAAUCCAAGUCUAUGGGUUCAGGGGGGAGUACAGUCGCAAGGCUGAAACUUAAAGGAAUUGACGGAAUGACACUACAAGGCGUGGAGUAUGCGGCUUAAUUUGACCCAACACGGGGAAGCUUACCAGGUCAGACACAGUAAGGAUUGACAGAUUGAGAGCUCUUUCUUGAUCCUAUGGAUGGUGGUGCAUGGCCGUUUCUGGUUCGUGGAGUGAUCUGUCUGCUUAAUUGCGAUAACGAACGAGAUCUCUACCUCUAAAUAGGCGCCGGUCUCGCAUGUAAGUAGGGAUGUGUUGGGGGCCUUCGUGUCCCCUCAUGUCCUGAGAGUGCCGGGAUCGCUUCUUAGACGGACUGUGCAUGUCUUUAAUGCACGGAAGAGGGAGUCAAUAGCAGGUCUGUGAUGCUCCUAGAUGUUCUGGGCUGCACGCGCACUACACUGGCACAGUAAACGAGUUGCACCUGCUUCGGCAGUCCUGCUUAGAAGUGAGCGUGGGAAAUCUUAGAAAACUGUGCCGUGCUGGGGAUAGAUGAUUGCGACUAUUUGUCUUGAACGAGGAAUGCCUAGUAGAGGUACUUCAUCAGAGUACCUUGAUUGUGUCCCUGCCAUUUGUACACACCGCCCGUCGUUGCUACCGAUUGGCUGUAAAAUAGAGGCCUUAAGAGUCGCUUCCGCAAAGCUUUGCUUUUGAGGUUGUGACAAAUCUGGCCAAUAUUUCAUUGCUAGAGGAAGCAAAAGUCGUAACAAGG